UGGAAUAUCAACCAAUUAACAUUGAUAAAGGGUGUGACGAGAACCUAUACAGAAGCUUGAUUUUUAUUUAAGCUUGAUUUUUCUAAGUUACUGUUGUGUCUUUUCCAUUUUAUUACUAAAUCUCUGACAUGAUAUAAGGCUCUGGUAUCAGGACAAAAUAGUGUCCUCCUUUGGGAGUUGUGGUUAACAUUUAUAGGCAUUGCAGUAUUCGUUUAAUAAGCAUAGGUUUUGACAUCAGAUUUAGUCUCUGUUUGGACUCUACCAGUGAGUUGGCUGCAGGAAGAAGCAGUUUUGAACCUCGAUUUUUCUCAUCUACAAAAUAGGUAUGGUGGUGCUUCAUUAAUACAGUACUUGUCAUAUUAAGAAUUCAAUAAAUAAUUAUUAUUACUGCAGUUGUGUUUAGAUAUUCAAUAAAUGGUACUAUAAUGUUUAAGUAUACUUUGUUUUAAGGAAAGAUGAUGCCAACUUUUUGGUUAAAUAUACAUGGUUUGAAUCUUUGAAAUCACAGUAAUUUACUGGUAAAGAGUUUCGAAGACCAACUUCUGGAGCUGUGUUACUUUUGGUAAGUUAUUUUCCUGUGCCUCGGUUUCCUCAAUCUGCUAAAUUAUAGUUAUGACAGUACCUGAUAGGAUUAUUGGGACUAAGUGAGUUAAUACCAUUAAUGUGGUCAGUAUGAUUCCUUGUACACACACAGCUUUUGACAAAUGGUACCCAUUGUUGUUAUUUUAAAAGCAUAUUUAUCACCCAUUUUUCCAGAGUGAGUUGUGCCAAAUAUUUCUAAACAAUUUUUAAAGAUAAGCUAAUACCCCAUAAUUAUAGAUAUGUAUUGUUUGAGCAAAAUGAUACUUCCAUAUUUGUGCCUUUAUUAGAAAUACUCAGAAUUAAUUUCAUACAGUUUUGUUUUCCAAUUCCAUGAAAUCAGCCUUUUCCAAUUCUGGUGACAUAUCCACAUUCUUUGUAGGUAGAAAGCAAAACAACAGCUGCAAAACCAGAAUUAUGUUAAGAGCUUACAUUACUCCAGCAGCCUGACAGGUGUCUUAAGUUCUUGCCAGUGCCUACCUCCAGAAUUAGAAUUCGCAUUUUGUGCUGCUUCUAUGGAGGAUGUCUACUUACUAUAAGAAAAAUAAUUAAAUAAAAAUGUGAAAUGAAGGCAUGGGACUUGUUUCUGAAGGUGAGUGCUGUUUUUAUUUGUUUAAUAAACAUUGCUUGCUAUGAAUAGGGAGCUAUCUUGUUAUGUACUUGGAUGCAAAAUAUACCACAUUUGAGUGAGUUCCACAUGUUUAUUGGAAUUUGUCAAAUGCUUACAUUAUUUUAUAAUUUACAUAGUACUUUAAGAAAUACUAUAAUCCAUCAUGGAAGGAUAUAAUUUAAAAAUAGUUCUAUAAAAUAUCUUUUACAAACUAAGCAUAUUUGGGAAGUCUCCAACAAUUCACAUUUGAACAUCUCAGGGAAAAAAUUAAUAUACACGUGGUUUAGGCUCUGCCAGAUGGCCUGUAGGUUAAAUUCCAAAUUCUGCUGUUUAAUUAGGUGUUCUUUAUUCUGUUCCUUGAUAGUCAUAAGUUUAUAUCUUUACCUUAUGUAUUUUCCUUAUUAUGUAAAAGGGUCUUUGAUCAUGUGGGCUAGACUCUACAUGAAGCAUUGCACUUGUUUGAAUGAAUACGAUGAAGGGUUUUAGUUGGAGUGAGACAACUCCUGCCCUUAUAGGAAAAUGCUUACUUGAUUUUGUUUUAUUAUAUAUUUAUUAGAAUUGUAAAAAGAAAUUUUCUUCUGAUGAACAUGUGCUUGUUAGUUUUAAAUAUUAUAGAUUCUGAGCAAAUGUUGAAAUUUUGCUUCUAUUUCCCCCCUUGUUUACCAUACUGCUUUUUGUUAUUUAAUUAUGUUGAUAGAGAACAUAAUAUAAAUUGAAUUCCUUUGAUAAUUUUAGGAUGUUUUGGAAUUGAACUAUUUUCUGUCAAGUUUGAACAUUCGAUUUAUUUUAUUUCUCCCAUUUUAUUGUAUUUUUCUAAUCAUUUUCUCCCAUUUUAUUGUAUUUUUUCUGAAUGUCUCCUACAGACUUCAGUAAUUGUCAUUUAAGAUGUGGGGAAUCUGUGAUUAAUAGAGUUUAUCUUUUGGUUAUACUUACUUCAGUGUUUUUGUUUGUUUUUGUACCAUGGGUUGAACUCAGGCUUUCGACCACUGAGCCACAUCCCUAGCCCUAUUUUGAAUUCUGUUUGGAGACAGGGUCUCACUGAGUUGCGUAACACCUCGCUUUUGCUGAGGCUGGCUUUGAACUGGUGAUCCUCUUGCCUCAGCCUCCCUCCUGAGCUGCUGGGAUUACAGCCAUGGGCCAUCACACCUGGCUACUUCAUUGUUUUUAAAAAUAUUUUUUUAAUAAAUGUCAAAGUGUUAAGUGUGAAAUAUUAUGCAAAAUUAUAGUUAGUAGCUAAGUAACUUCUCUUCAUUACUUAUCACUUAAUAUUGAAGAUUUUUAAAAACUAGAAAUAUUCUUUUUUCAAAUUGUAGUGUUAGAAUGAAGGGUGUUUUUAUUUUUUAACUUUUAAUUCUUUAUAUAGCUCCCAGUACAUGAUGAAACCAACAGCAGAAUUUUUGUAUGUAUGUAAAUCAGUAUUACUUUUUUAUAUUAGCCUUAACUUCCUUUAGUUUACAGAAAAGAACUAGUCCCAAGGGUAUGUUUUACAAUUUGAUACACAUUAUUCCUGUGAGGCUAAGUAACACUAUUCCAUGAACACAAGUCUUGGCAGUGCCCUUCAACUGCUUUCUUGUCUGGGGACUGCCUGGGUUCAGUUAUAGCUGGCUUAAGACUUGUGACCUUUUACUAAUUUCAAAGUGAUUUUUAAGGUCUGUUAAGUUAUAGCCAAUAUAUGUCUUUCUGUCUGUCUAAAAACAGGAUUUGGGCUGUUUUGCUUUGAUUUUCUGAAGUAACUUAAGAAAGUUUUUUUUGCCACUUGUUCUCCAUAUAAAUUUUGCAACUCAGAUUCCCUGGAAGAUUAAAAAAAAAAAAAAAAGUACUUUUGUGAGGGUUUUUUUUUUUUUUUGCUUUGUUUUUUAACGUAUUAAAGGUGCCUAAAUGUAUACAGUUACCUUUUCUAUGUAGCCUAACCAUUUUGACAUUAUGAAAUGCUUUUCUCCCCCUGUAGAUUAUCCAUGAAUUGUUUUGUUUUGGAUGUCUUUAUAUUUAAUAAUCACUUGCUUAAAAAUACCCACUGUGUGUAGUCAGUAGCACACACAGAAAAACCUCUUGUUUGCAGUUUAUAGCAUAGUCAUUAUUAACCAAAAUACUAAUUUGCUUUUGGGUAGACAUAUGAGUAUGAAUGAGAGUUUGGGAACCAGGUAUUGUUAAUCCUUCUCUUUCAAAUAACUUUCUAAAUAUUUGUUCUGUAAUUUAAAUUUGUUAAUGUUAUAAAUUCUGUCAGUGUCUUUGUAUUAAAUGUAGUGACCAAACUAUGUCUCUAAACCUGAUAUAAUUUUAUAUAUCAGAACAUGGAUAAUAAAAGAACAGUGAACAUGCAAACACAGAAAUUAAUAUCAGAGUAAUAUAAGACAGCAAGUGAAGUUAAUACAUGCUUGCAUUCCAUAUAUAUUUAUUAAUGAUGUAUAUUUAUGCUUCAUAAUAAAUUUGACCCAAGGUAGAUGCAGUUGUCAAGAAUGACUGAUAACUAUUCAUGUAUAUGGCCAAACUGAAUUUUAAAUGUUUUCUUAUGUUUUUCUUUCAUCUCUAGUACCCAUCACAAGUGACUCAAGUGAUGCAUGUUAAAAGCAAAAAAAAAGUGCUUUUUUCCUAUUCUCACACAACACUCAACAUGCUUCUAUCCCCAAAUGUAUGUGAGGAUUUCUCCCCACCUGCAAUCAAGGAGGGUUUUUUUUGCACAUUUUCUGUUGGACAUCAGCUAGGUAUCCUUUAAUUAAGAUACUGCAUACCUGGACAUAAUGCCAGAUCUCACAGGUUGGAGGGUAAGUCCUACACACUGUCUCCCCAUUCAAAUGCCACUUAGCAAGCAUAGUUUGUGGCCUGUGCCUCUGAAGUACUGGCUAUAAACCUGGGUUCCCACUAUUCCUUCUCAGAUGUGAUUAAUUUGCUAGAAUGGCUCAAGAAAUGAGGAAAAGGCUUUAUUCAUAUUUACCAAUUUAUUAUAAAGGAUAUUACAAAGACACAUGGAAGAGAUGCACAUGGCAAAAUAAUGGAAAGUACAAGUGGAGUGAAAUCCUGCUUACUCUGGAUUUGCACCCUCCAGAAACUGCAUGAUCAGCUAUGUAGAAGUGCAUUUGAACCCUUUCUCAUGAAAGCUUCAUUACAUAGGGCAGUCCUGGGAAUUGGUGAGUGGGGCACAGAGUUUUGACUUUAUUCUGAAGCUGUCUGUGGCCCUAGCCACCAGUCAUCUCAUUGGCUACUGCAGACAUUCAUCACUAUCCAGAGAUUACAAAGUUCUAGAAGCUCUGUGUCAGCAAACAGGAAUGAAGACCAAAUAUAAUUUCACAGUUAUCACAAACAUGUCCUUGAGAAUUAGACUGCCAAUCUAAUCUGUGCUCCAUCACUUAACAUUGGUGUGACCUUAAGUAAAUUGCUGAACUUCUUUGGAUAGUUCUUUGUAAAAUAAACAACCAACAUCAGGUUGUAGGGUUGAGAGAGAGAGAGAGGGUUGUAGGGUUGUGAAGGACCCAGCACAGUUAAGGUGUUCAGUGGAUACUAUUUCUUUUGCUUUUAGGCUCAAAUGAGCUCCCUCAGUGUCCAUUCCCAACCAUGAUGUUUAUCUUAAAUCAGUAUUAAAGUCAUCCACCUUGAACCUUUAGGGUACAUUAUAAGAUUGGUAGUUUUUAUUAUGACCCCAAGUCAAACCAUUUUCCCACAAAUAAUCAAGCCUUUAGCCUCAUAUUGAACAAAAUUGUAUGAAAUGUCAAAUUUUUAUUAUGGUUUGCAUAUGAGCUGUGUCCCCCCACUCCAUGUUAAUGCAGGAAUAAUCAGAAGAAAAAUGAUUACAUUGUGAAAGAUGAAACCUAUGUAACAACCUAUGGCUGUUUCAGUCCAUCUUGUUUGAAUGGAGUAACUGGACAUGUGGGCACAGCAGGAGGUGGGUUACUGGGGCUGCCCUGGAAGGGUGUAUCUUCCCUGCAGCCCCUCUACCCACUGCUUCCUGGCUGCCAUGAGCAAAGCAGCAACCCUUCACUGCACCCUGGGUCGUGAUGUGCUGCCUUAUGUCAUGUGCUUCAGAAGAGUGGAGUGACCCUCUGUGAACUGAGACCUUGGAAACCAUAAGCCCCAAAUAAAAUUUCCCUCUAAGUUGUUUUUGUCAGGUAUUUUAGUCACAGUGAUGCAAAGCUGAAUAACAGUCUUGUAUAGUUUAAAAAAAAAUAGUCAUAGUCAGCUCAGACAAGGCAGGUAGAAGACUUCCUAGGACUGACAUACCAAAAGACUGUAAUCAGAGUGCCUAUUAGAAACCUCAGUGCGGGCCAGGCCGUAUUGGAUGUUGGAAUCGUCAGGACAGUAGAUUACAAAGUAUGAAGGGUGAGAGAUGAUACUCUGAGUAGACUAGAACAGAAUACAUUAGAAAGUCUUUUUCCAAAAUUGUGUUGGAUAUCCUAGGAUUUGAUUCAUGCCUUGUGUUUAUUUCUGCAUGUAAUAGGUUGAGUAUGGAAGAAGCAAUAUGCAUAAAAGUUGGCAAACUUGUUUGCUCAUUUUCCAACCUUUCCAGAUCAUUGCUUAUAAAACACUGGUAUUUACAGUAAAUAUAUUGUUUUAAAUAUUUGCUAACCCUACUAAAUUGUGUUUCCCUAUGCAAUAGUCACUUAAUGACUUCAUCCUCCAGUAAGUUGGUAUGUUAUUUGAAAUUGCUUUUAGAGCUUAGGGGUUGUUUCAGAGAGUUAAAGGCAAAAGCGGGAAGAGAAUAGCAUUUUCAGGACAAAGUGAUCCAGCAGACCCUUGAUAAAAUAUGAGAUGUGUCUGUCUUUACUACACAACCGUUGACUAAAGCACUCUGACCUCAUGUCCUUGUAUGUAAAUGAAAAAUGUAUAGUCUUGUAACUUCCUUUUUCUAGGUAAAUCCAUCCAAUUAUUUAUUUUAUGUUUAUUUGUAUGUGUCCGUAUUUGCAUGAGCACACUAUUAAGCAGAAGAAGUUCUGGGUUUAGCUGCCUGGGCCCAUUAGAUAAUUCAGAUAAGUCACUUAGCACACUACCUGGCACAUAAGAAGCACUCAGGAAAUAUCCCACUCAGUUUAAAUCUCCAGUCUUAAUAGUACCUUGAUGUUGGCCUUCCUAAGUAAAGUUGAUCUUCUCUUUGUGACACAAAUGUGUCUAGUAUUUACUAAUCAUAAAUUGUUCUCACUAGUGCUAAAUUUAUUACUAAUUUAUCUGCAUGUCUACUUCCCUUCUCAGAUUAUGAGCCCCUUGAGAACAAAAAUGGGUUUGUUUCUUUUUCAUAAGUUCAUUGUCUAGCAUGGUGAAAUUUUACUAUUUUAAAAUGUGUUCCUUUUCCCUUCUCAGGGGAAGAUAAUCCUUGAGCAAAAGUGACAAAUAGGAAUGUUACCAAAAAAAUCUGGCCAUGUUCUCAAAUCACUAUUCCCCCACUUGCCUCUUCACACUUUUUUUUUAAUAUAAGAAAAGAAAGUAAUAAAAUGACUGCCAAAUUAAGAUAAACUGUCUACUAAACAUGAGUUAAAAUGCUAUGAUCAGAAACUGAAUAAAGGCAACAUAACGACACUAUUAAAAAGUGGUGUUCUUGAAAUUAAAAGCCCCAGUUCACAUUAUAGCCCUGCUACUUUUUAGCCAUGACAACAAGAAAGCUCUGUUUUCUCUUUGACUCUAUAAAGUAGGGUUUAUCACUAUUUGAUGGUUAGUGGUUAAUAUGAGAUAAUAUUCUUACAAUGCUAGCACUGUGCCUGGUAAAUAGAGACUGCUCAAAUAUUUUCUGAAGAGAGUUAGCUUCAGCUAGUAUUAUACUCUAUACAUUUGAGAAAAAUCCAGUUUAUUUCACCAGGUACCAUAAAUUACUGCUUGAAGUAUUGUUCAAAUUAGUUGAUACUCUGACUUUAUCUUGAAAAACAAAACUUAAAAAGUGACCAAGUCAUUUUAGUUCCAUCAUGUUAAUGUUGUGGGGAAGAGUAAUGAAGAUCAAAUGGCAAAAACGUACUGACAAUUCAGUUGUGUGAUUAUUUUCUGGACACACAAAGGUAGACCUUUACUUCAUACUACUCUCCUAAAGUGAAAGCAGUGAGAACUCAAGUCAUGCAUGGGAAAAUUGACCACCAUUGAACUAUCACUGCCAUUAUGUAAGAGUUUUGUCCAAACUCUCAUGAUGGAAAGCAACUCUUAAAAUCCCCUCCUCAUUUCUUCUCUCCUUAUUACUGCUGAAUAAACAUUUUCUUUCAACCUUGUUUUGUGUUUUGCUUAUUUGAUAUGCUUUUCAAAGUCUAACAGUUAGUGAUUCAAUUAGGCUAUAGGGUAGCAGAAACCCCAAAACAGAGGCUUAAGCAAGACAGGUUUGUUUUUUAAACUCUUACAUGGAGUUCCAAAGGUGGUUUUUAACAUUGCCACCAUUACAUCCUUAAUAAAGACUGCAGGAAGUGGUAGGGAUUAAGCCAGAAGUCUUGUCUGCGUCACAAAGUUCAGAAACUUCCAGCUUGUCUCCUUUGCCACAGUUUUAUCCUGUGGCUGUUCAUGAGCUGCAGCAGAGGCCAAGAAACAAAGUUCUUUUGCUGGGCACAUUAUCACUCAGAACAAAAUCAAAGUUUGGCUUGGGUCACUAUAACAAACUUCUUUAAGGAUUCAGGUAGCUCUGUGUCACAGAUUAGGAGAUUUCCUAUAAGGCUGAAGAACUUCAUGGGAUAUGUCUGGAGAUUGUGAAGCUAAUAGCUAGGAAUCUUG
Molecule: long non-coding RNA, 7855 nt
Filed under: Marmota monax (woodchuck)
Lineage: Eukaryota; Metazoa; Chordata; Mammalia; Rodentia; Sciuridae
Source: RNAcentral